UUAGGAUUGAUAGGAUGGUUAAAAUUCAGCAACAGAACCAUAAGGUUCUACAAUUCAAUUUUCCUAUUAGAAUUGGAUCGGAGAAUAGAACCAUAUGAUCAUAACAUCCGGAUCGAGAGAAUGUAACAACCAUGGUUCUACUUUCUUCAAAUAUCUACAAGGGUCUAUAAUUUUAACAUCUAUUUUUCUGCAGCUAAUGAUUUUUAUUGGUAUAUUAUAUUAUAUUCAUUUAUCUGAAAUUGAUUGAAGGGAUCGGUAAAGUUGCAGACUGCAUUAAUGGUGGUCAGCAGUCAGAAUUAUGCUAUCACAAUUCCACUAGUUAUUCUUUUACUUUGAUUAAUGGUAAUUAUUUUGCAGAGUCUUGAUGCCCUAAUAUACAUUAUAACUAAUACAUCGUAUUUAGAUACAUUCAUUUCAACAGGAAUGAGUAUUUUUAUUUAUGCCACCAAAAUGAAUUUUCUCUGUUCGAUGAUUUGUCUAAGAGAAUUUUUCUACUUCCUUCAAACAUGAAAACGCUGUUAAGAAUUUAACAUCUAUCUUUCUGCUGCAAUAAAUUCAUAUGAAAUUGAUUGUCUUUUUAAGAAAUUGAGCGGAUAGAUAUAUUGAAGAGCGAACCACUUCUUAUGCUUAUCGUUUGUCCUUUUUUCUUCAAAUUAUGGCUAUUAUUUCUUUUGGCAACUAUAGCUUACUUUUUUCCACCCUUGUUUAUCAUCUUUCUGAGUUUUCAGUUGCCAAUGUAUGGGUGAAUUAUCUUAUUCUGUAGCCUGUAUUGUACAUCGAUGGGAAGAUAUGAUACUUUGAUAGUUAUUAAGGUUAACUAUUGAAACCAUCUGGCGAGUAGCUAAGAUCUUAAGGCAUCUGAUGGGCGCCUAACAUUUGACACGUUCUUUGUUUGCUAAUAUAAUAGCAGUUUCUGUUUAGAGAAUAUCGCCCUAAAUCGAAUCUAGGUACAUUCAUUUUAAAAGGAAUGAGUAUUUUUAUGCCACUAAAAUGUAUUUUCUCUGUUUGAUGAUUUGUGAGAUAAUUUUCUACUCCCUUCAAACAUGAAAAGGCUGUUAGGAAUUUAACAUCUGUCUUUCUGCUGCAAUAAAUUCAUAUGAAAUUGAUUGUCUUUUUAAGAAACUAAGCAGACAGAUAUAUGGAAGAGCAAACCUCUUUCUUGUGCUUAUCGUUUGUUCUUUUUUCUCCUCCAAAUUAAGUCCUUUUAUUAUUUCUUUUGGCAACUAUAGCUGUACUUUUUUCCACCCAUGUUUAUCAUCCUUUUGAGUUUUCAGUUGCCAAUGUAUGAGUGAAUUAUCUUAUUCCAUAGCCUGUAUUGCACCUCGAUGGGAAGAUCUGACACUUUUAAUAUUUAUUAAGGUUAACUAGCGAAAUGGAUCCAUCUGGCAAGUAGCUAACAUCUUAAGGCAUCUGAGAGGCUCCUAGCAUUUGAGAGGUUCUUUGUUUGCUAAUAUAAUAGCAAUUUCUGUUUAGAGAAUAUCGCCACUUAAGCAGCUUGUCCAGAGGUUGAUGUAAACUUUCAAAAGCUUUGAAACACAAUUUGAAACGUUGUAAUAGGAGAGACUAUAAUGUGUAGCCAUUGUAUUAUCAUUAUAAGGUAUCCUUAUCUUGUUCCUUAAUAAUGUUUUCUUAGUUAUGUUUUAUUCUAGGGAAUUUUGAUACAGAAGUUAGGCCCUUCUACACGCUGAACCUGUUUUGUGAUGGCAAGUAGGAAGGCAAUCACAUAGGUCAUAUUGUAUCAUGGUAAAGCAUCCUCAAGUUUCCAUUCCUUUCCAAUCACUUAUAUUUAUUGGAAACCAUUUUGAGCAUAAUUACUUAAUUUUUUAUUUUCUCAUAUAUGCAGGUUUAGUUGCUGAAAGAAGGCCAUGAACAAUGUACUAAUACUUCUUUGAUAUGUGUAAACACUAUAGUAAGAGUUAAAAAAGUUCAAUCUCCCCUUAUAAAAUUGGCACAUUUAUUCAUGGUAUUGUCUAUGGUAGCUACAUGGGACUGCCCCCACAAACACUGAAUAUAGGAGUUACUUUUUACAUCUUUCUCCUUUCUGUGCAUUCAUGAAUAUUACAGCACCACUGGUAACAAUUUCUGUUUUCCUUGGUAGAUAUUUUAGAGGGGGGUUUUAUAUACCAAAGAAGUAACCAGUUAUUUUUCCUUGGACUUCAAAAGUCCUAGUAGUAUUGAUCAACAAAUGCAAUUGCAGGAAGCCUAGAUUCAAAUACAAGGCAGAAUGGAGAGAUACUUAUCAAUGUUUGCAGGCAAGCAUUAGCAUUUGGC
This 2271-nucleotide long non-coding RNA is filed under the name Olea europaea subsp. europaea. The record is from RNAcentral. Lineage: Eukaryota; Viridiplantae; Streptophyta; Magnoliopsida; Lamiales; Oleaceae.